RNAcentral lists this ribosomal RNA (492 nucleotides) under uncultured bacterium. Its description in RNAcentral is "partial 16S ribosomal RNA". It matches the Rfam family "Bacterial small subunit ribosomal RNA", at positions 29 to 507 of the family's 1533-position model. The record is from RNAcentral.
AGUGAACGCUGGCGGUAGGCCUAACACAUGCAAGUCGAGCGGCAGCACAGUAAGAGCUUGCUCUUACGGGUGGCGAGUGGCGGACGGGUGAGGCAUACAUCGGAAUCUACUUUUUCGUGGGGGAUAACGUAGGGAAACUUACGCUAAUACCGCAUACGACCUACGGGUGAAAGCAGGGGAUCUUCGGACCUUGCGCGAUUGAAUGAGCCGAUGUCGGAUUAGCUAGUUGGCGGGGUAAAGGCACACCAAGGCGACGAUGCGUAGCUGGUCUGAGAGGAUGAUCAGCCACACUGGAACUGAGACACGGUCCAGACUCCUACGGGAGGCAGCAGUGGGGAAUAUUGGACAAUGGGCGCAAGCCUGAUCCAGCCAUACCGCGUGGGUGAAGAAGGUCUUCGGGUUGUAAAGCCCUUUUGUUGGGAAAGAAAAGCAGCAGGUGAAUACCCCGCUGUUCUGACGGUACCCAAAGAAUAAGCACCGGCUAACUUCGUG